AUGAGCGCCCACCCAUACGCGCUGGCGGGGCUCGAGCUCACGGGCUACGUGCGCCGCCUCUCCCAGCUCGAGAUCCUUGCGGUCUACCUUGGCGCCUCCCUCUUCAUCCCCCUCUCCGUCUGGCUCAUCUCCGGGAGAUGUCGCCGGCUAUCCAAGUCCGACUGUGUGCUCAUCUGCUGGUGGGCGUUCACCGGGCUGAACCACAUCCCCAUCAAGGGCCCCUUCGUCUUCACCCCCGAUUUCUUUGCCAAGGUCAACCCGAAUAACUUUGAUGAAGUCUGGAAGGUGUACAACUAAGGAGACUCCAGAUACGUCGCCAGGGACACGGCCACCGUCACUGACGAAGGGAUCACGACCGUGCUGGAAGGCCAUGCUUCGCUGCUUGCAGUCUAUGUUGUUGCAUCUCGGAAACGCUACAUCCAUAUCCUCUAGUUCUCUGUAUGCCUGGGUCAGCUCUACGGAUGCUUGGUCUACAUCAUAGCGGCCUACUUGGAUGGCUUUAACUUCUGGGCCAGUCCAUUCUACUUCUGGGUGUAUUUCAUUGGCGCAAACAGUUCAUGGAUCGUGAUACCAACGUUGAUUGCCACAAGGAGCUGGAAGAAGAUCUGCACAACGAUUCAUCAAAGCCAAAAGGUGAAGACUAAGUAA
RNAcentral lists this ribosomal RNA (648 nucleotides) under Triticum aestivum (bread wheat). RNAcentral's name for it is "partial small subunit ribosomal RNA". The record is from RNAcentral. Lineage: Eukaryota; Viridiplantae; Streptophyta; Magnoliopsida; Poales; Poaceae.